RNAcentral lists this non-coding RNA (27 nucleotides) under Homo sapiens (human). The record is from RNAcentral. Lineage: Eukaryota; Metazoa; Chordata; Mammalia; Primates; Hominidae.
UAAAGAAGAUAACAUCUUCCAUGGUGU